GGCUCUUUGUUUGUCAAAAGAUAGGGAGUCGAACCUGCCCGAUGGUUUACGAAUUCAAUGGCUGCAGUAUUACUGACUGUGCAAAGGUAGCAUAAUCGCUUGCCCAUUAAUUAUGGGCUAGUAUGAAUGGUUUGACGGGAGCUAAGCUGUCUCAAGGUGAAUUAUUUAGAAUUUACUUUUUAGGUGAAAAAUCCUGAUUGUUAUUGAGGGACGAUAAGUCCCUAUUAAGCUUGAGUUGAGCCGUAGAACAUAUAAGACUUUUAAGUAAUUAUAUUUCUUAGGGUUGAAUCUUUGGUUGGGGAAACCAAGAAGCAAAAGAAGCCUUCUUUAUAAAUAAUAUUAUUUACUUUAUGAGUGAGUGAUCCAAUUAAAUAAUGUCUAUUGAGCAGGAGAAAAAGCUACUAUAGGGAUAACAGCGUAAUCUUCUUGGAGAGCUCUAAUUGAGAAGAAGGAUUGCGACCUCGAUGUUGGACUAAGGUGUACCUGGUGGUGUAGCAGCUUCUUUGGGUUAGUCUGUUCGACUAUUAAAACCUU
Molecule: ribosomal RNA, 534 nt
Filed under: Puncturella exquisita
Lineage: Eukaryota; Metazoa; Mollusca; Gastropoda; Lepetellida; Fissurellidae
Description: Rimula exquisita partial large subunit ribosomal RNA
Rfam family: Bacterial large subunit ribosomal RNA
Source: RNAcentral